Non-coding RNA from Schizosaccharomyces pombe (fission yeast), 571 nucleotides. The record is from the annotation of a GenBank genome assembly. Lineage: Eukaryota; Fungi; Ascomycota; Schizosaccharomycetes; Schizosaccharomycetales; Schizosaccharomycetaceae.
CAUCACAAUAAUCAAAACCACAGAAAACAACAGGAAUUUGUAACGCGGAAGAGAUAAAAAAUUUGAAAGUGAAAUUCGAGACAUGAUAAGAGAUUAAUUCAACGAACCGCUGAAACAAUAGAAUUUGAGACACGUGAAAUUUUCGAAAGCCUUAAAAAAAUGAAAAAAGGCUCUAAAGAUGACUCCCUUUAUGAGGAUGUUACCCUCUAAAAUUUAUUUAUUUCUUUUACCCUUAAACGACUUGCGUUAACAACCCUUUAAAGAAAAAAUAUCCGAGAUUUAUGUUUCAUCACGCGGGUUGCUCUGCAUUUGUCAAUUUAUUACCAGCACGUUGUUUGUACCAUGUGCCGCGCUAUAUUCAGUUACAGUAUUGUAAUUCAAAUUGUGGAAUUGCCUUUUACAAAUCCUAACGCUUUGUUUUUUCACAAUCAUCUUAGUUUGUGUGUAAUGGUGUCAACUUUCGAGCUAUCUGGAUGUUGAAAAUUAUGAGCUUAAGCAUGUAAUAGAAAUUGACACUAAUGAAUUAAUUUGGUGAAGUUGUUUCAAACAGUGAAAAAUCUGACUGUUAGCU